CACAAGAUGUUGACAGCAGUUGUUCAGAGUCCAUACCUGAUGAAGGACAUUGGGAAGCUCUCUCCUGUCCAUCAAACAUAUGGACUAGAAGUGUACCACAAUAUUGUGAAUCACUUCGCCUCUAAGAGCAACCACUACUUCUACACAUCAAUGCUCGCCAGAUUGUACCUUGCAGCCAUGCAUUACAACGAGAACAGCAACAACGCCAAGGCAGUGACCAAAGAUGGAUAACAGAAAUGGCAGCUAUCAUUUCCAAAGGCAAAGAAAGGAAGUGAAGUCGUCGUCAAACCAUGCAAGACUCCACCUACAUAUGGCUAUGUUGCAUUGCUAUUGCAAGCUGCCAUUGACAGAAGACUUGAUGUCCCCAACCACCUAGCUGCAUCACAGGAAGGGAAAAAGAUCAUGGGAGAGAUACCUUCACCUAUCACUCACUCAUUCGUCGCUGUUGACAAAAGUGAACUCAUUCAAAACCACCGAUCACGCUUCUGUUAAUAUUUGUUAUAAACGUACACUACAGAAUACAAAAUACUUAUUUGUAACUUUCCUUGUAGUACUUACCCUUGAGGUCCUAUAGCAUCUUUGACAGAACAACAUUUUUGACAUUUCAGUUGACGCGUGUCUCAUCACUUAUUACAUUGGAUAUUUUUUAACAUAUAACAAGGAGAACAGUUCAUCAAUUACAAUAUGGUUUUAUUUUUUUCAGGUCUAUACCAAUUACAAAAGAGGUAACACAUCUUAUUCAAAAAUAGUUAUCUCAUCAAAUACAACUUCACGCCUAGACAAUUCCAUUUCAUAAGCUAUUGAUCCAAAACAAAAUAAAAAUCAAAACAGUUCUUUACUUCUAUAUUGUCCAACAGAUCAUCAUUAAUAUUUCUUAACCACCUGGUGGUCCUGAACUUUUAACAUUUUUAAGAAAACACAAUUAUUAUAAUGCUGUGUUUGUUUUACUUAAUUUUGCCAAUAUUCACAAGGCUUUUAUUUGUUUAUAUAAAAAAUUGAGAAAACUAAUAGCAUUUACCAGAAACAUGACUACAGCAGAUUAUUAUCGGACCAAAUUAAUGCACAGAGCUCUUUUAUUAUCAUAAUUAUUUUAAAUUAGGUGAGGGUGAAUGGCUGACAUCACAUCUGUAAACAUGAAAUCUAAACGUAAUAAUUAGUACACGCCUAAUAUAUAACACCAACCGUAGGUCAGUGGGUUAUCACAGAUCAAGUGUAUACAUAUGAUCAUAGACCCAAGAUCUUAAAUAGACCAAGGUUAAUAUAACAUGACAAAUUAACAUCAGUCAUCAUUAAAUUUUAUAGGAACAAAACAAAACGAGAUUAACGUAUUAAACAUCUCUAGAGUAGGGUAAACAACGAUAAAGUACGCGCAGCUACACUUAACAGCACUAUAAUUGGGUAAACAACAUUUGACUGCGCGCAGCUACACCGAACAACGCUCUAGUAGAGUAAACAUUUUUACUGCGCGCAGCUACACUAAACAACACCAUGCUAAGUAAUUAGAGAUAAGUUGACUUAAAGAAAACAAAUAUCAAAUGUAGUGUUUACUCCCAUACAUGCAACAACAGUGCCGAUCCUUUCAGACUCAUUACCAGAAUUUUGAUCAGUACCCAAUGCACAUUUAAUAGGCCAUAAGCCAAGUCAAUGAAACACACAAAAAAAACCUAUUCUGUUUACAGUUCGAAAAAGCGAAUAUCUUUUCGUCACUAUGAUAUUGACAACUAUUUCUUAUUUGUAUUGCUAAUUAUAUCAACAGGACCAACAAAGAAAUAAAUAAUGGGGAAAAAAGAAAUAAAAAAUAUAAAACUGAAGCCCUUAUCAAGUGUAGAGGGAACUCUUUAUAUGUAUUUCAGUAUUUGUAAUUAAUGUCUUUUAACGCAUAAAGCACAUGUUGAUUAAUCACAGAAUGUACCCACUUUCCCCGACAUGCCGACCUUCUAUUUGGCUACUCUUAUUUUCCUCGUUACUCCCCCACUACCAUGUUCGUUUACAAUCCAGGCUGGACAAAUUGAAAAGUACAACCAGAAGAUUGAAAGAAAUUUGAUAAUUUAUUUUAAUAAAGGUAGAAGUUCCGUAACAAAAGGUAAGGGGCUUUUGAGGUAAACUAACAUAUCUAGAAAACAUCUGUAAAACUAAUUCUUUCUUGUUUGGUUCAUAGAUUUCCUACAGUGAAUUUGUUUGUAUGAUGUCUACCAACUUUCCCUUCAUAAAGCUCCAAGGAAAUAUCCGGGACAUAACUAAUGCCUAAAGGAACUACGGAACCAAGUGAUUCAUCAUAGACGGGUAGUCUGUAGCCGAGUACAAAUUUACUGUUAAAUUUUCGGAAAGUGGCGACCAUGUCGGACCAGUUUUUUCCGAACGUUUCACUGUUCGGCUUUCCGAGUGGAUUGUCACCAACAUAUCCACAAGCCGGUAUCAUCCUGACUA
Pecten maximus is the source of this 2427-nucleotide long non-coding RNA. RefSeq lists it as uncharacterized. The record is from RefSeq and is a predicted model, not a curated record. Lineage: Eukaryota; Metazoa; Mollusca; Bivalvia; Pectinida; Pectinidae. The transcript is spliced from 5 exons.